GCAGCUGAACGCAUAGAUUACGUGGCAGUAUCACUAAUCCCCCAGAAAUGACAAACCCUGGGAAUGCAGCUCACAAUGACAGGUAGUGAGGAGGACUGGACCAACAGUGUAGGCAUCCCACAACAAUGGCUUUACAUUCUCCUUUCUGCGAGGGGGCGUGUCCCUCUCUUGCCUGCACUGUGAUGAUUCCUCCCCCUCCCUCACUCUGCUGACUCUCGGAAGCCUUGCAGCCCUGCACGCACAAUGAUAAUUGGAGAUUGCUUGCACUCUACCAAAGAAAAUAUGAAUACACUACAGUACCUAGAAAAACAGUAUCCUGAAAGCUUAGAAGCAGAGAUCUGUGCCUCCAUACAGUCCUCUCUGUGAUCCAACAGGAAUUUAUUUCCAUUCAUCUGAAUUUACCACAGGUGACAGCAAUUAAGGCAUAGAAACAUCUCCAAGAUGAUCAAGAGAAAUGGAGGGCCCCCAAAACUAAAUUUCAAGUGUCAAAGCAAAGGGUCUGAAUACUUAUGUCCAUGCAAAAUAUGCAAUGUAUGUAGUGUAGUCUCUACUAAUUGCCAGCUCAAGAACACAACCAUAUGGUGGACUCAUUUCCUAACUGCGACCAGUCUGCUAUGCUGCAAUGACCUUAUAUCUUUUUGGAAGGAUUUCUUUAUCUGUGUAAAAACUAAAUGAAUGCUUGUCAUAAAAGCCAUCCAACGGUUGAGUGCUUUGACAUUACUGUUAAAAAUAAAGGACUUCUCUCCUGGACCUUACAGCAACUUUGCUUUUUCAGCAUUGCUAAAAUGCACAAACUGCUGCACAAUGAUUAUUAUAUUAUGGGAGCCUGCCAAAAUGUCAUCCUAUAUCUCUUCUAUGCUCAGACAACUAUUGGUAUGUUGUUUUUAUAAAGCUGUACAUAAUUCCAUGUAAUCUAAC
Molecule: long non-coding RNA, 918 nt
Organism: Hyla sarda
Lineage: Eukaryota; Metazoa; Chordata; Amphibia; Anura; Hylidae
Exons: 5
Source: RefSeq, a predicted model, not a curated record